This 253-nucleotide ribosomal RNA is filed under the name uncultured bacterium. RNAcentral's name for it is "partial 16S ribosomal RNA". It matches the Rfam family "Bacterial small subunit ribosomal RNA", at positions 524 to 776 of the family's 1533-position model. The record is from RNAcentral.
UACAGAGGGGGCAAGCGUUGUUCGGAAUUACUGGGCGUAAAGGGCGCGUAGGCGGCCCGCUAAGUCGAACGUGAAAUCCCCGAGCUCAACUCGGGAACUGCGUCCGAUACUGGCGGGCUUGAAUUCGGGAGAGGGAUGCAGAAUUCCAGGUGUAGCGGUGAAAUGCGUAGAUAUCUGGAGGAAUACCGGUGGCGAAGGCGGCAUCCUGGACCGACAUUGACGCUGAGGAGCGAAAGCUAGGGGAGCAAACGGG